Molecule: RNA transcript, 2469 nt
Organism: Phyllopteryx taeniolatus (common seadragon)
Lineage: Eukaryota; Metazoa; Chordata; Actinopteri; Syngnathiformes; Syngnathidae
Gene name: transcription factor Sox-13-like
Exons: 8
Source: RefSeq, a predicted model, not a curated record
UGAGUACUUUCUUACUCUUACUCAAGUAAUUAUUUGGAGGACUGCUUUUUACUGAGACGAGUCACAUUAUUCUGACUUGAGUACAGUAUUUGGCUUCUCCCGCCACCUCUGCGUACACUUAAUCAGUCACUCUGAUUAAUUUUUGGUGUGGUUUGUACCGUUAACAGCAAAAUAUUGUGAAAUGGCGGCCAGCUAAAUACUUGAGAAAACUUGGAAACCUGAGGUAAAUACAAGAAAUGUACCGCCAUUUGGCAUUUGUUUCAAUUUUACAAUAUGUCUGAAUGUUUUACGGCUGUUAGAUGAAUUGAACCAAUUUAUGUUGUGUCUGGCAAAAACGACCACCCAGAACAGGACAUUAACGGAGUGUCAUGGAUAUAUUUGUCUUUUUUUCUAAGCUAAAAUCGCUUUGACUGUUGUUUUGAACAUUGUGGCUCCUAAAAUGGCGGCCACAUCGCAAGCCCCUUCGAAAAGACUCACCAUAUUGUGAUGGUCUCUGAAGGUCAAAAGAGGCGUUUUUAUUAUUUUCGUCGGGGUGGAAUGGACAAAAUGUCGGUCAAAUUGGCCGUCAGUUAGCUAGCUCGCUCGUUAGCUUAGCCAUCGCCGCUCUUUGAACGUGACACGUGACGUCACAAAGAGCACCCCAGUCUUCGCCGUUUGAUUGGCGGAUUGAGUUAUUUUGGGCGGUCCUAAUAAUGGGAAGGAAAUAAAUACCAAGUGAACAAGCAAAGCCCAUUCCAAGUGAAAUGAUGGACAACCGACGGUUGGAAACCAUUUUGGAAGUGGUGAGCGCGGACUCGGGCAAGAUGCUCAACCAACGAGAGCAGGUCAGCGGUGCACCGUCGGUGGUGAGAUUAAGACAGACCUUUUCCAAGCUGGUGCCGGGCCCAGUUCGCCAUCCUCCUCGGCCAUCGCCAGCGAAUUCAGAGUCAGUAUUCUCUGUCAAAUGUCUUUCCUGGCACAUGCACACAGAGGCGACAUGCUGAUGCUUUGUUUUCCCAUUAGCACAAAGAGGAGGAAAUGCGGGGACACGUCCACCGCCGCGCCUUAUGUCAAAAAAGCCCCGAACGCAUAUCUCAUUUUCAUGAAGGAGCAGCGGCCAUUCGUGAAGGCCGCUGCGACACGGCAAGACAGCGCCGCGGUCAACAAGGUCCUGGGGCAAAUGUGGAAGUCGCUGACGCCGGCUGAGCAGCUCAGUUACUUCCAAGAAUCUGAGCGGCUCAGUCGGAUCCACGCCACCAGGUACCCGGACUGGACCUACAGAGACAACUACGGCAAAAGAGAAAGUGGGGCAGUGCAGCCACCAGCGUAAAUCAUCUGACCGCGCCUGCGCCACAGCUCGCGGUACCGGCCCCGGUGCCCUCAACGGGGUCCGACGAGGACCUCGUGUCCAGUAUUUUAUUGGGGGACACAGACUUUGGGGGCUCCGCACUGAGCCUGGAUGUGGGGCCCGAGGUGGACCUGACGUCAGCCUUGUACAGGCAGCUUGAGGCACUGGAGGCGGAGGAAGCGGCCGGAUCGGAGCAUCCACUUUAAAUAUAUUGCAAAUGUUUUUAUAAAUCCAGAGCUUGUGGUACCGGCCCCGGUGCCCAAAACGAGGCCCGACGAGGACCUCGUGUCCAAUUUUCUCUUGGGGGACACUGAGUUUGGGGUCUCAGGAUGGGGCCUGGAUGUGGGGCCGGUGAGGGAGCGAACUGAAUGUUUGCAUCUUCGCACACUUCCUGUUAUUCAACACGUGCGUCUUGAGGUGUUUGGACAACAGGACAGAACUUUUCCGAGCUGGUGCCUGGGCCAGUUCGCCAUCCUCCUCGACGUUCGCCAUCGAAUUCAAAGUAAGUAUUCUCUGUAAAAUGUAUUUCCCGGCACAUGCACACAGAGGCGACAUGCUGAUGCUUUGUUUUCCCAUGAGAACAAAGAGGAAUAAAUGCACGGAGAAGUCCACUGCGCCUUACAUCAAGAAGCCCCCUCAUGCGUUCAUGAUCUUCAUGGAGGUUUUGUGAAGGCCGCUGCGCCAUGGCAAGACAGUGCUGCUGUCAAUAAGGUCCUCGGGCAACUGUGGAAGUCGCUGACGCCGGCUGAGCAGCUCAGUUACUUCCAAGAAUCUGAGCGGCUCAGUCGGAUCCACGCCACCAGGUACCCGGACUGGACCUACAGAGACAACUACGGCAAAAACCAAAAGAGAAAGUGGGGCAGUGCAGCCACCAGCGUAAAUCAUCUGACCGCGCCUGCGCCACAGCUCGCGGUAUUGGCCCCGGUGCCCUCAACGGGGCCCGACGAGGACCUCGUGUCCAAUUUUUCUUGGGGGACACUGACUUUGGGGCCUCCGGAUGGAGCCUGGAUGUGGGGCCCAAGGUGGACCUGACCUCGGCCUUGUACAGGCAGCUUGAGGCACUGAAGGCGGAGGAAGCGGCCGGAUCGGAGCAUAGACUUUAAAUUUAUUUCAAAUGUUUUAAUAAACCUAUAUACAUUUUC